Long non-coding RNA from Cucurbita moschata (crookneck pumpkin), 87 nucleotides. RefSeq lists it as uncharacterized. The transcript is spliced from 3 exons. Lineage: Eukaryota; Viridiplantae; Streptophyta; Magnoliopsida; Cucurbitales; Cucurbitaceae. The record is from RefSeq and is a predicted model, not a curated record.
AGAAAUGUUUUAGAAAAAAACGUGAGCGAGGAAAUACAUUUGAAAACGAUUUGAAGAAUUGAAGAAAGCAACGUUAUAUGACUAUAA